CAUGGAUGAUUUUCUACCUGGAGAUCCCUUCUACUGUAGUAUUUUGUGUUCUGUGGUUCUUGUGACAGAGCAGUGCUGACAUUUCUUGAGCCUGCUGUAUCUGAAUAAAUGGAGAAAAUCAGAGCAUUUACCCUUCCGAAGAGCAGGUGGGUGCACCAUGCUGGUCAGCCAUGAUAAGGGGCUGAUGAACACUGGACAUGCUCUGGGGAGCCUGAAAGGCAGUUUUUCAAUUGCAUUGGAUUUUGCCCUGGUAUUUUUUUGAGUGGGGAGAAGAGAUUUCAGAUGGAAAAAAAAAAAAAAAUCAGCAAUGAUCCAGGAACGUCAAGCUGUUUCCCUCUGGAAACUGGGAACUGCUGAUUGCUACAAAUCUGUUUAAGGUUGGAAAAUCUGCAGCUGGCAGAGACAUCACUGAGGCUUAUGGUAAAGUCCCUGAGGCUUUCUGUCUACUGAUGAAUUGAUGAAAGGCUUCAGUGAGUGAGCAUGUGCAGGUGUCUUUCUGCCCAUUUCCUUGAACCGAAAAGUGCUUUAUUCUGGAAGCUGAUCCUCUGAAAUCAGUCACAAAACAUAUGUUGUAAUGGGAAUGAGAGUAGCUAAAUCUGGCCUGAAGAAAACUGACAGAAAUGAUGCAUUUCACCUGAAGAAAGCUUGACACAAUGUAAAGAAGGAAAACCACAAAUAAAUCAAUUUAAACUCAAAUUCAUUUGCACAAGUACCCAAAAACCAAUUUUUCACACUGUGAGUCAUUGCUUCCCGUUCUCUAGCUCUCUGAACAGAGGUUAAGUGGGAUGGAGGCUUUGAUGGAGAUGAGCAGCUUUCAGCUGCUGGUGGGUGACUUGCUGCUGAUGUCGCCUGUAGGCUCCCAUGGGGAGGUGAUGUAAGGAUAAAUUGGAGAGCAAAUGCAGGCAGAUGUGACUGACCACAGGAUGCUAAUGCGAGCUACUGCUAUUACAAGUGCUGGAGACAGUACACGUUUCUGAGUCUGUCAUUACUAGCAACUCUGAGAUUUUUUGCUGGGAAAAAGCACUUUGUUGAAAUUACAGCACUUGCUCUGAGUGCAAAAUGCUUUGAGUUUAAGUGAGUCAAAGGAGAAGAUACUGCUUGUGCUAGACAUGGGGAUUUCAAUCCUUCAGAGAGAUGAGAAAAAACUAAUGUUUAAUGACUGUGUGCACAUCCAGUAAUUACUGAAGAAUGAAGUCUGAUAUCAGUAGUAGGGAAGAGUGAGGGUAUGUAAGGCUCCCUUUAAAUGAAAGGAAUUUGGGGAAGGGAAGUAUGUGCAUUCAUGGCUGCUGUUUCAUUUGAAAAGUUGUCUUGUAAUGAAAAUAUGCUGCCUCUCUUUUAAAUAAAAUGGGAAAUGGGCUAAGUUGCUAGAAAUACUUCAUAAAAACACUUAUCUGAGAUUAAAGCAGGGAGCUUGGACCCUGGAUUCUUUUUCCUGUUUUAUAACAUCAUCACUUAUGUUUCCUUGACUGAAUCAUUAAAUCUGAAGUAAUCUAGAAAAGAAUCUCUUCGUUCUGUAUGC
Molecule: long non-coding RNA, 1519 nt
Organism: Lagopus leucura (white-tailed ptarmigan)
Lineage: Eukaryota; Metazoa; Chordata; Aves; Galliformes; Phasianidae
Exons: 3
Source: RefSeq, a predicted model, not a curated record